Molecule: ribosomal RNA, 253 nt
Filed under: uncultured bacterium
Lineage: Bacteria
Description: partial 16S ribosomal RNA
Rfam family: Bacterial small subunit ribosomal RNA
Source: RNAcentral
UACGGAGGGUGCAAGCGUUACUCGGAUUUAUUGGGCGUAAAGGGCAGGUAGGUGGUCUUAUUUGUCUGAGGUGAAAGCCUUGAGCUUAACUCAAGAAGUGCCUCAGAAACGGUAAGACUAGGGUUCUAGAGAGGGUCGUGGAAUUCCCGGUGUAGCGGUGAAAUGCGUAGAGAUCGGGAGGAACACCAGAGGCGAAGGCGGCGACCUGGAUAGAUACUGACACUAAACUGCGAAAGCGUGGGGAGCAAACAGG